RNAcentral lists this ribosomal RNA (468 nucleotides) under uncultured bacterium. RNAcentral's name for it is "partial 16S ribosomal RNA". It matches the Rfam family "Bacterial small subunit ribosomal RNA", at positions 28 to 507 of the family's 1533-position model. The record is from RNAcentral.
GACGAACGCUGGCGGCGUGCUUAACACAUGCAAGUCGAACGGAAAGGCCCUGCUUUUGUGGGGUUCUCGAUUGGCGAACGCGUGCGUGUCACGUGAGUAACCUGCCCUUGACUUUGGGGUAACUUCACGAAACUAGGGCUAAUACCAGAUAGGAUCUCCUCCUCCAUUUUGGGGAUUGGAAAGUUUCGGCUGUAGGGGAUGGAUUCGCGGCUUACCAGCUUGUUUGUGGGGUAGUGGCUGACCCAGGCUUUGACGGGUAGGCAGCCUGAGAGGGGGACCGGGGACAAGAGGGCUAAGAGACGGCCCAGACGCGUACGGGAGGCAACAGGGGGGAGUAUGGCACAGUGGGCGGAAGCGGGUGGCAGAGACGCUGCGGGCGGGAAGCCGGCCUUUGGGUUGUAAACCGCUGUAGCCUGUGACGAAGCGGUAGUGACGGUAAUGGGUAAAGAAGCACCGGCUAACUACGUG